GUCUUGAAAGCUAUAAGCAAUCUAUUUUGUAAAUAGGAGGAAGUUAGUAUUCAUUAACUCAAGACU
This 66-nucleotide transfer RNA is filed under the name Ophiura luetkenii. RNAcentral's name for it is "tRNA-Thr". Lineage: Eukaryota; Metazoa; Echinodermata; Ophiuroidea; Amphilepidida; Ophiuridae. The record is from RNAcentral.